RNAcentral lists this non-coding RNA (49 nucleotides) under Gloeochaete wittrockiana. The record is from RNAcentral. Lineage: Eukaryota; Glaucocystophyceae; Gloeochaetales; Gloeochaetaceae.
UCCAUGUCCAUGGUGUACUCAAAUAAGAGUAUCCUCUCGGUGUACAACU